This 267-nucleotide ribosomal RNA is filed under the name uncultured prokaryote. RNAcentral describes it as "partial 16S ribosomal RNA". It matches the Rfam family "Bacterial small subunit ribosomal RNA", at positions 524 to 788 of the family's 1533-position model. The record is from RNAcentral.
UACGUAGGGUGCGAGCGUUGUCCGGAAUUACUGGGCGUAAAGAGCUCGUAGGUGGUUUGUCACGUCGUCUGUGAAAUUCCGGGGCUUAACCUCGGGCGUGCAGGCGAUACGGGCAAUACUUGAGUGCUGUAGGGGAGACUGGAAUUCCUGGUGUAGCGGUGAAAUUCGCAGAUAUCAGGAGGAACACCAAUGGCGAAGGCAGGUCUCUGGGCAGUUACUGACGCUGAGGAGCGAAAGCAUGGGUAGCGAACAGGAUUAGAUACCCCU